Molecule: ribosomal RNA, 1990 nt
Filed under: Halobacillus massiliensis
Lineage: Bacteria; Bacillati; Bacillota; Bacilli; Caryophanales; Bacillaceae
Description: bacterial LSU rRNA
Rfam family: Bacterial large subunit ribosomal RNA
Source: RNAcentral
CCUACCGGGUUACCGAAUUCAGUCAAACUCCGAAUGCCAGAGACUUUGUUCUGGGAGUCAGACCAUGGGUGAUAAGGUUCAUGGUCGAGAGGGAAACAGCCCAGACCGCCAGCUAAGGUCCCUAAGUGUGUGUUAAGUGGAAAAGGAUGUGGAGUUGCUUAGACAACCAGGAUGUUGGCUUAGAAGCAGCCACCAUUCAAAGAGUGCGUAAUAGCUCACUGGUCGAGUGACUCCGCGCCGAAAAUAUACCGGGGCUAAACACACCACCGAAGCUGCGGAUUGAUCCGGAUGGAUCAAUGGUAGGAGAGCGUUCUAAGGGCUGUGAAGUCAGACCGUAAGGACUGGUGGAGCGCUUAGAAGUGAGAAUGCCGGUAUGAGUAGCGAAAAAAGAGUGAGAAUCUCUUUCACCGAAAGCCUAAGGUUUCCUGAGGAAGGCUCGUCCUCUCAGGGUUAGUCGGGACCUAAGCCGAGGCCGAAAGGCGUAGGCGAUGGACAACAGGUGGAUAUUCCUGUACCGCCUUCCUUCCAUUUGAGUGAUGGGGGGACGCAGGAGGAUAAGGAGAGCGCACCAUUGGAAGCGUGCGUCCAAGCAGCAAGACGGUCGGAAUAGGAAAAUCCGUCCGGCAACGUCGAGCUGUGAUGGGGAGGGAAAUUGAGUACCGAAGCUCCGGAUUUCACACUGCCAAGAAAAGCCUCUAGCGAGGAAGGAUGGCGCCCGUACCGCAAACCAACACAGGUAGGCGAGGAGAGAAUCCUAAGGUGAGCGGGAGAACUCUCGUUAAGGAACUCGGCAAAAUGACCCCGUAACUUCGGGAGAAGGGGUGCUCCUCUGCCGAGGAGCCGCAGUGAAAAGGCCCAAGCGACUGUUUACCAAAAACACAGGUCUCUGCGAAGCCGUAAGGCGAAGUAUAGGGGCUGACACCUGCCCGGUGCUGGAAGGUUAAGGGGAUGCGUUAGCCGUAAGGCGAAGCGUUGAACCGAAGCCCCAGUAAACGGCGGCCGUAACUAUAACGGUCCUAAGGUAGCGAAAUUCCUUGUCGGGUAAGUUCCGACCCGCACGAAAGGUGCAACGACUUGGGCACUGUCUCAACGAGAGACCCGGUGAAAUUAUACUAUGCGUGAAGAUGCGCAUUACCCGCGACAGGACGGAAAGACCCCGUGGAGCUUUACUGUAGCCUGAUAUUGAAUGUUGGUACAGCUUGUACAGGAUAGGUGGGAGCCUGAGAAGCCGGAGCGCUAGCUUCGGUGGAGGCGCUGGUGGGAUACCACCCUGGCUGUACGGACAUUCUAACCCAGGACCGUGAUCCGGUCCGGAGACAGUGUCAGGUGGGCAGUUUGACUGGGGCGGUCGCCUCCCAAAGAGUAACGGAGGCGCCCAAAGGUUCCCUCAGAAUGGUUGGAAAUCAUUCGCAGAGUGUAAAGGCACAAGGGAGCUUGACUGCGAGACCUACAAGUCGAGCAGGGACGAAAGUCGGGCUUAGUGAUCCGGCGGUACCGUAUGGAAGGGCCGUCGCUCAACGGAUAAAAGCUACCCCGGGGAUAACAGGCUUAUCUCCCCCAAGAGUCCACAUCGACGGGGAGGUUUGGCACCUCGAUGUCGGCUCAUCGCAUCCUGGGGCUGUAGUCGGUCCCAAGGGUUGGGCUGUUCGCCCAUUAAAGCGGUACGCGAGCUGGGUUCAGAACGUCGUGAGACAGUUCGGUCCCUAUCCGUCGUGGGCGUUGGAAAUCUGAAAGGAGCUGUCCUUAGUACGAGAGGACCGGGAUGGACACACCGCUGGUGUACCAGUUGUUCCGCCAGGAGCAUCGCUGGGUAGCUACGUGUGGACGGGAUAAGUGCUGAAAGCAUCUAAGCAUGAAGCCCCCCUUGAGAUGAGAUUUCCCCUAACUAUAAGUUAGUAAGAUUCCUCAGAGACGAUGAGGUCGAUAGGUCUGAAGUGGACGCGUGGUGACACGUGGAGCUGACAGAUACUAAUCAAUCGAUGACUUAUCU